This 559-nucleotide ribosomal RNA is filed under the name Fusarium pseudensiforme. RNAcentral describes it as "eukaryotic LSU rRNA". It matches the Rfam family "Eukaryotic large subunit ribosomal RNA", at positions 1 to 558 of the family's 3401-position model. Lineage: Eukaryota; Fungi; Ascomycota; Sordariomycetes; Hypocreales; Nectriaceae. The record is from RNAcentral.
AACUUCUGAACGUUGACCUCGAAUCAGGUAGGAAUACCCGCUGAACUUAAGCAUAUCAAUAAGCGGAGGAAAAGAAACCAACAGGGAUUGCCCUAGUAACGGCGAGUGAAGCGGCAACAGCUCAAAUUUGAAAUCUGGCUCUCGGGCCCGAGUUGUAAUUUGUAGAGGAUGCUUUUGGUGAGGUGCCUUCCGAGUUCCCUGGAACGGGACGCCACAGAGGGUGAGAGCCCCGUCUGGUUGGACACCGAUCCUCUGUAAAGCUCCUUCGACGAGUCGAGUAGUUUGGGAAUGCUGCUCUAAAUGGGAGGUAUAUGUCUUCUAAAGCUAAAUACCGGCCAGAGACCGAUAGCGCACAAGUAGAGUGAUCGAAAGAUGAAAAGAACUUUGAAAAGAGAGUUAAAAAGUACGUGAAAUUGUUGAAAGGGAAGCGCUUGUGACCAGACUUGGGCUUGGUUGAUCAUCCAGGGUUCUCCCUGGUGCACUCUUCCGGCCCAGGCCAGCAUCAGUUCGCCCCGGGGGAAAAAGGCUUCGGGAAUGUGGCUCUCUCCGGGGAGUGUUA